UGGGGAAUAUUGCACAAUGGGCGAAAGCCUGAUGCAGCGACGCCGCGUGAGCGAAGAAGUAUUUCGGUAUGUAAAGCUCUAUCAGCAGGGAAGAAAAUGACGGUACCUGACUAAGAAGCACCGGCUAAAUACGUGCCAA
Molecule: ribosomal RNA, 139 nt
Filed under: uncultured bacterium
Lineage: Bacteria
Description: partial 16S ribosomal RNA
Rfam family: Bacterial small subunit ribosomal RNA
Source: RNAcentral